RNAcentral lists this ribosomal RNA (497 nucleotides) under uncultured bacterium. Its description in RNAcentral is "partial 16S ribosomal RNA". It matches the Rfam family "Bacterial small subunit ribosomal RNA", at positions 28 to 507 of the family's 1533-position model. The record is from RNAcentral.
GAUGAACGCUGGCGGCGUGCCUAAUACAUGCAAGUCGAGCGAACAGACGAGGAGCUUGCUCCUCUGACGUUAGCGGCGGACGGGUGAGUAACACGUGGAUAACCUACCUAUAAGACUGGGAUAACUUCGGGAAACCGGAGCUAAUACCGGAUAAUAUAUUGAACCGCAUGGUUCAAUAGUGAAAGACGGUUUUGCUGUCACUUAUAGAUGGAUCCGCGCCGCAUUAGCUAGUUGGUAAGGUAACGGCUUACCAAGGCGACGAUGCGUAGCCGACCGGAGAGGGUGAUCGGCCACCCUGGAACGUGGACACGGUCCAGACUCCUACGGGAGGCAGCAGUAGGGAAUCUUCCGCAAUGGGCGAAAGCCUGACGGAGCAACGCCGCGUGAGUGAUGAAGGUCUUCGGAGCGUAAAACUCUGUUAUUAGGGAUGAACAAAUGUGUAAGUAACUAUGCACGUCUUGACGGUACCUAAUCAGAAAGCCACGGCUAACUACGUG